UGCAGUUCCGAAAGCUGGGUCCU
This 23-nucleotide non-coding RNA is filed under the name Rattus norvegicus (Norway rat). The record is from RNAcentral. Lineage: Eukaryota; Metazoa; Chordata; Mammalia; Rodentia; Muridae.